Molecule: non-coding RNA, 4504 nt
Organism: Vicugna pacos (alpaca)
Lineage: Eukaryota; Metazoa; Chordata; Mammalia; Artiodactyla; Camelidae
Source: RefSeq, a predicted model, not a curated record
UGUUUUUGAUGACCUUGACAGUUUCCAAGAGGACCUGUCAGGAAUCGCGUGGAACAUCUUCCAGUUGGGAUUUACGUGAUGUUUCCCUCGUGCUUAGCCUGGGGUGAUGUGCUUCUGGAGAGGAAGGCCACAGAGGACAAGUGUAACGCACGACACUGCCUAUCAGGGGAACACGCUCUGAAGGAAAAGUAGCCACCUCAGUAAUGGUCAGAGGGAUGCUGGAUCCAACAUCUGUGCUUCGAAUAGCAUCUGGCACAUAGUCUGUGCUCACCAAAUAAUCAGUAUUGAAGACAGGCAGGACCUCAGAUUCUUAACUCCAUGAUCCAGGCCUUCAUCCAGAUUCCAGGGACACAUCCACCUUGGGAGAAUCACCUGACUGAACAGGACAAGCUACAAGGCUCGUGUCUCCUCUGCCUUCAGGUCAGCAUGAAAAGCCGAUUGCACAGCUUCCUUGGCCCCUGCGCAGUAACCCCACUGUGAUCUUGUCCCCUCAGGUCCCUGGGCUCUGGGACAGGAGCGGCACAGAAAGAGGAAGCUGAGGGAACAAGCCAGUCUCCCCUGAGCCCACAGAGCUGGCCUAAGCUACCCACUCAGUCCUGUCUGUAUGCUGGUCCCUCUCACAACCUGGUACAGAUUUUUAGGUGCAAGGACCCUCCCCUCCUCACUGGGAGGCAGCCCCAGGUGUCACCAAAGACCAGGGAAAACAAAAGAUGGACCAGAGAAUCACCCAGAGGAGCAGGAUCACACCCAUGGGGACUUCUUAUGGUUAAGUCUGCUUAGUAGAAAAGGAGCAGCGAUGUUUCUUUCUUGCCUUGAGUUUACUCAAGUUUCUCUUCCCUGGCUGUUGAGUAGAGCAAGAGGCACUUUUAGCUUUCUUGUGGUUAGACUGCCUCUGAGGUUUGUGUACUUGGAAGAAGUCUAUGGAAAACAAAUAUGUGUAUGUGUAUGUAUGACUGAAACAAACUGUACACCAGAAACUGACAUGGUGUAACUGACUAUACUUCAAUUUAAAAAAAAAGUCUAUGAAUUCUGUGUAUGAAGCCACAUAGUGGCAGGAUCCGUGAGAUCUCCACAUUCCAUUAAAAAAUCCAAAAGGGAAGCAUAAGAAUUCCCAAGGCCAGUGCGUUCAAAGUGUGCAGCCAGCUCAGUAUCCAUGUAAGAGGCUGUCCCAGGGUCCCAGGCCUGUCUGAGUGUCAGGUAGGAACUGCAUGAAAAGGAGUCCAAUGUGCUGGGUCCUGGUGGUGGUCGUAGGUGGAAGCCAUUAAGGGGGAGUCACACCCAGAAGGAGUAGGCUCCCCCUGAGUGGGAAAUAGUGAGAAGAGGGCCCACAUUUGGUGGUCAGAGUGUUAGCCAUGAGAGAGUCAGAAGGAGAGAAUGUGGAAAGGGCCAUGGGGCAGGGAUCAGUCUGAGGCCAGCACCAGUGAUGAGGGACCAGGAGACCCCUUGACAGGAUGUGGUCUUUGGAGGCUUGUGUUAAAAGCAUAGGAUGCAGCCAAAGAAGUCUGUGGAACCCAAGGUACUGGAAGUCAGUGAGGAAAGAGAACACGAUGUACUGAGGAACUGUACUUCCCCAGGCCAGCAGCAAAGGUGCUCUCUAAAUUAGGAUCCAGGUAACUGCCUGAAUGCCACACAGCCCCCUCCUCACCUAUGAAGACAACAGAUACCUGGGUGGGUGAGGCUGGGUUUAAAGUCCAGGUGGGCAGCGCUAACAUAGCAGGCAUUCGGGCAGCUUACACCUGCUUUUGAAAGAGCCAGCAAUGAUCGGUUUCUCUUUCUGGUUCUGUCUGCAGCCAGUGAUACUUCUGGGUAUGGUUGACCUUGGACUCAUCGUUCACAAGUCCACCCACCCAUCCAUAAAGUUCACUUCACACUACAUCUUGGGCCAGCAACGAUACUUACAGUGUAACCACUCACAAAGUCCUCAGAGAUUCACAGCAUGAGACAAGAAGUCACACCUGGUCAUUCCCCCUCAUGCUUCCACCCCUGCACUGACUGCCACCAUCACAUGAACUACGCACAAGCCAGUUGACCUGCCUUAAUUUGCACGUGUGGGAUAGGGGUGACUUUCAGUACACGGAAACCAGAUAUUUGAUUGUUAUUACACCAGAUAUUCCAAAUUUCAUAUCAGACAUUGACCUAGUUGGACUUAACAAAAAUUCCAGUAAGGAAGUGGAGCAGAGGCCAGGAAGUGCCCCCUCACUUAUUCCUGAUUUUCUUUCAUUCUCCCUACUUUUUUUUAACCCCAAAUGAAAUCUAAAUAAAGAAGUUAAGAUAGAGCACAGCACAGUGAAGUGAUGCCAAAACUCAGCGCAUCCUCCCCAUUGUCAUGGGACUGAGACCUUGCCAGUGGUGGGUCUCAUCCAAGGACGGGGCUGGGGACACGCUCUUGAGGAACAUGAGCCUCUUCUGAGAUCUGGGUAGCCAUGUUUGCAGGGACAUGCUGGGUGUUCCAUCAUCUGAAGCAGGGCAUGUCAGCACAGAGCAGUCCCGAGGGGGGCCCAGCAGGUUCUCAGGCACAAACACAGAUCCCCACUUGACCCGUAUCUGGAGCACCGUCUAGGGCCCAUCAGUCUAGACCCAUCGCUGUAGUAUUCAGACAAUAAAGAUCACUCCCAUUGCAUCCUGCCCAGAGUGAACGUGUGCGCCCGUCCAGAGGCCUUCUGUCGUUAGGUGAGCCUCCGCCCUUCUAACAGUGCAGGAGAUAGAAUCAUGUCUUCAUCCCAGCCUGCCCUCCCCAUUUUCUUAAUUUCCCAGAAGAGUUUGCUUUCUCCUGGCCCAGACCCCCUGACUCCCCCAUAUCCGUCAGGAGACCUCAGGCCUCCACCAUCAGUUCAGGCAGAACUUCCCCCCAAAAGACACACCUCAGAUGACCUGGAGUCCCUGGAAGAUGAGCUGCUGUCACUAACAUAGUGAGAAACCUGUGGGCUCCCUCCCAUCCAAACCUCCUGCCCAGUCUUCCUCCCCCAGGAGUCCUUGUCCUGAGUAAUGGGGUCUCUGAGCACCAGCUUCCUGGAAGGGUCAUAUUGAAGGAAAUCCUAAAAAGAAGAAUAGAUUGAAAUGACUGCAUGAUCUUUCACUACAUCUGUUCACAAUCCAAUGCAUGGAAAAUCCAGGGAGUCCACACAGAUAGUAAUCUCUAGAUUCAGCCUUUUACUCUGAGAGAAUAGGAUUAAACCCAUUAGCAGGUUUCUAGGGUGUGGCUCUUUGUGAAUAUGCAUUAAGCCAACGAUCCUGGUAAACGUGGUAAUUCAGGAUUGAGUGUUAAAUGAAAUUUGCCCACAUCUGUCAGCCAGGGGGGCUUUUAUGGUCAUCUGAAUUCUGUGUUCUUAACUGUUAUCAAGCUAGACACAAUCUUCCAUUUUUCAUGGAUCUUUUUAAAAUUUCAUCUUUAAAAAGUAAUUUUAUUUUUUUUUAUUAUUUUUUAUGUUUUUGCUUGGGGAGAGGUAAUUAUGUUUAUUUAUUUACUUUUUUGUUUUAAUGGAGGUACUGGGGAUUGAACCCUGGACCUCAUGCACAGUAAGCAUGCACUCUAGCACUGAGCUAUACCCUCCCCCCAUGGCAGCUUUUUUUGAGGUGUAAUUCACAUAUAAAAUUGUAAGGUAUUUGAAGAGCACAUCUUGGUGACUUGAUACAUGUUUACAGUGUGAAAGGAUUCCCUCAUCUGGUUAACAUCAUCACUUCACAUGCGUCUUUCCCUCUCUCUUCCUGUGAGACUAUUUAGGCUUUACUCUCUUGCCAGUUUCAAUUACAUAAUACAGAUCAGCCAUGAUCACCACAUGUUACAUUAGCUCCUCAGACCAUAUUCAUCUUAUAUCUGAACAGUUUCCCUCUUUUACCAGCCUCUCCCUAUUCCCCCACCCCACAGCCCUGGGAACCACUUUUCUACCCUCUUUUUGUUUGAGUUUGACUUUUUCAUAGAUGUAAUAUCUGAGACAGUUCAGAAAACUUCCCCCAAUUGCAAGUUCUUUCUGAGAGUCAUCACUCCAUUUUUCUGUCCAUGUCAUAGAAAAAUACUCCCGGCCAACAGUGGAUCAGUUGUAGCAGGCACUGACCCUGGAGGACGUGCCGCAUGGCUCCGUUUGCUUUGGGAAUUGACUGUGGGACUGAAGGUCUCAACAACUUAGAGCAACAUAAGUUGACAUAACACAAAAAUUUAUCUAUGGCACUAAAUUAACCCAUACAACUGAGAUCUAAAACCAGACACGGAGGGAGAUUGCAUAGUUCCAGGUACAUAUGGGAUAUAUUUGAAGGGUAACGUGGACUUCUUUAGAGCCUGCAGCCUUCUGUUUCCUAAAAGACCAGCCUCCAGCUGUGCCCCUUAAGGUAGUCACAACAGCCCAUCACCAUGGCAACAGACGUUCCAAUGGUGGCCUGUGCUGGGGAAGCUCUGGUUACAAGAUGGUUUUUGUUUUUGUUUUUGUUUGUUAGGGGAGGUAAUUAGGUUGAUUGAUUGAUUGAUUGAUUGUAGCGGGGAUUGAACCUAGGACCUCAUGCAUGCUAAGCA